AUGAGAAACAGUAGUCAGCCACAAACUUUUUCUGUCCCAGGGAAAGAUUUUCCAGUUAUGGUUUUUUAAAAAACUUUCAUAUUUAUUUUGGGGGAGUCAUCUACACCUCUUUCUAAUAUUGUCUGAUUAAUAUUUCACCAAGUUAUUUUUCCUCUAAGGCCAUGGAAAAAUUGAGAUCUCUACACCAAAGUGUUCAUUUUAGAAGCUCAAUAAA
Loxodonta africana (African savanna elephant) is the source of this 214-nucleotide long non-coding RNA. It matches the Rfam family "DAOA antisense RNA 1 conserved region 2". NCBI's taxonomy places the organism in Eukaryota, Metazoa, Chordata, Mammalia, Proboscidea, Elephantidae. The record is from Rfam.